GUGCGCAGCGGCGGUCUUGGAGGACGGCGUGUUGUCUGCUGGUUGCUUGCGGCGACCGUUUCCUGGGCAUCUUCAUCAUCCACGGCCAUCCAGGGCACUAGGCGGUGCCCACCGUUUUUUACGCCCAGGCGGGAGUAGUGCCCGAGGUGACAGUCGUACAGUGAGAGGGCAUACUGUCACAGAGCAGCCCUUCUGCAAGAUGCCUUGGAGCAGUCACUGGACACCUGGGCCUGCUGUUGGGAGAUGUUUUGUGAGCCUCAUGCUUCUGCAGUCUGCUACCUUGUUAGCUGCAAGGAGGAAGUUCUGCAGACCUUCCCAGUUCCUGGUGACUGCCUUCUCCCAGUGGCUCCACUCUGUGUCCCUGCCCCAGCACAUGGCGUCCCUCCGUGUUUCCACAAGAGCAAUCCCAGGAUGCCAGAGCUAGUAGAAACGUGAGAUGGUUUCUUCAAUGGCUGCCAGGCUGUUCCAUGGAACUUGUGCGGGGAAGAGGUCAUGGAAACUGAGAAAUGAGGCCUGCCCAUGUUGAUACGCCCAAUGAGGAAAAUGAUGCCUGAUGUGGAGCAGAAUUUGAACUCAAGUCUUUACAUCUUAAUUGUCUGAGUUCUCUGCUUCUGGAGUGAGGAGCCUUUCUGUGCAUCAGGACCCAGUCCUUUCUGGCAUCAUCUGAAUGAAAAUGAGGUGUUUAAUAAAUGUGCUUUUAAAUGAG
Molecule: long non-coding RNA, 706 nt
Organism: Carlito syrichta (Philippine tarsier)
Lineage: Eukaryota; Metazoa; Chordata; Mammalia; Primates; Tarsiidae
Exons: 6
Source: RefSeq, a predicted model, not a curated record